This 109-nucleotide small nucleolar RNA is filed under the name Sorghum bicolor (sorghum). Its description in RNAcentral is "Plant small nucleolar RNA R71". It matches the Rfam family "Plant small nucleolar RNA R71". From Rfam's summary of the family: R71 is a member of the C/D box family of snoRNAs containing the C (UGAUGA) and D (CUGA) box motifs. Lineage: Eukaryota; Viridiplantae; Streptophyta; Magnoliopsida; Poales; Poaceae. The record is from Rfam by way of RNAcentral.
AUUCCAUGAUGAGGACAAUCUAAGAUGUAUCCUUGUAAACACUCCCAUGCUUCUGAAAUGGUUUCUACUUCUGCUGUUGAAAACUAGUAAUCUUUCCAAUUAUGGCAUU